RNAcentral lists this long non-coding RNA (444 nucleotides) under Toxoplasma gondii VEG. The record is from RNAcentral. Lineage: Eukaryota; Apicomplexa; Conoidasida; Eucoccidiorida; Sarcocystidae.
GAGGGUUCUCCGUGUGGCGCCCUCAAUCAAACUGGGCAUCGAGAUUCCUAGGGAGGGGAAUAGUGGCUUCAAAACAGAAGGCAGCGGCGCGUAACACAGAGCCGACUUACGCGGGAGUAGCCGGUAAAGUGACGGCACAGAUCGAAGCGUGUCCUGUUGUGAAUUUUUUUAGAAGUAGAGUUUCCUUGAUGAAAGCGACUCUGUUGUUGGCGUGUGGCAAAAUAAUUGAGAAACAGCUUGUGUGCAAGUGUUCGUUUCUCAAAUGGACGAUGCUGUCACUCUGCGUCAUGCACGUCAACGGGUCGUCAUGAACAGAUUCAUGAGGUGUCAUUCCAAAAAAUCUGAACCCUGCCUAGGUCUGUUGUUUUUAGACAUCCCUUCUUAAAGUGAUGCGAGGAAAGAAGAGAUCGCGUUAGUUCUUGGUAAGACGACGUCGGAACCCCC